This 282-nucleotide long non-coding RNA is filed under the name Ananas comosus (pineapple). RNAcentral describes it as "long non-coding RNA (ACOM_LNC041609)". The record is from RNAcentral. Lineage: Eukaryota; Viridiplantae; Streptophyta; Magnoliopsida; Poales; Bromeliaceae.
CUCUAAUCUUUAUCAGAUAGCUAUCGGAUUUUAUUUUCCACCUUCCGGGUGUCGGAAUGAUUUGAAACUUUAAUUCUAGUCUCAUAAAAAUAAUUAUGACUUAGCCUCCAGUUUUCAUAAUUUUCUGACACUGUGCAUUUUCUGCUAAUUUAUCUGUCCCGUUUCCAACAGAAAUUCUAAAUCUUCUGUUUUCAUUUCGAUUUCAGCACAAGUCACUUCUGACUUAUGUUUUACUUUUCUAAAUUCAAUAAAAAUAGUAUCUCACACUAUUUUUAUUUAUUU